This 250-nucleotide ribosomal RNA is filed under the name uncultured bacterium. RNAcentral describes it as "partial 16S ribosomal RNA". It matches the Rfam family "Bacterial small subunit ribosomal RNA", at positions 524 to 773 of the family's 1533-position model. The record is from RNAcentral.
AACGUAGGACACAAGCGUUAUCCGGAGUUACUGGGCGUAAAGGGCGUUUAGGCGGGUGAUUAAGUUCGCUAUGAAAGCGCCAGGCUAAACCUGGCGAGGCUGGCGGAUACUGGUCAUCUGGAGUGAGGGAGAGGGAAGUAGAAUUCCGCGUGUAGUGGUGAAAUGCGUAGAGAUGCGGAGGAAUACCAGUGGCGAAGGCGACUUCCUGGCCCUCAACUGACGCUGAAGCGCGAAAGCAUGGGGAGCGAAC